RNAcentral lists this ribosomal RNA (487 nucleotides) under uncultured bacterium. RNAcentral's name for it is "bacterial SSU rRNA". It matches the Rfam family "Bacterial small subunit ribosomal RNA", at positions 31 to 507 of the family's 1533-position model. The record is from RNAcentral.
GAACGCUAGCUACAGGCUUAACACAUGCAAGUCGAGGGGCAGCAUGGUCUUAGCUUGCUAAGGCCGAUGGCGACCGGCGCACGGGUGAGUAACACGUAUCCAACCUGCCGUCUACUCUUGGACAGCCUUCUGAAAGGAAGAUUAAUACAAGAUGGCAUCAUGAGUCCGCAUGUUCACAUGAUUAAAGGUAUUCCGGUAGACGAUGGGGAUGCGUUCCAUUAGAUAGUAGGCGGGGUAACGGCCCACCUAGUCUUCGAUGGAUAGGGGUUCUGAGAGGAAGGUCCCCCACAUUGGAACUGAGACACGGUCCAAACUCCUACGGGAGGCAGCAGUGAGGAAUAUUGGUCAAUGGGCGAGAGCCUGAACCAGCCAAGUAGCGUGAAGGAUGACUGCCCUAUGGGUUGUAAACUUCUUUUAUAAAGGAAUAAAGUCGGGUAUGUAUACCCGUUUGCAUGUACUUUAUGAAUAAGGAUCGGCUAACUCCGUG